UACGAGAACCUCAAGCGUUAUCCGGAAUCAUUGGGCGUAAAGAGCUCGUAGGCGGUUCAGCAAGUCGGCUGUGAAAGUCCGAGGCUCAACCUCGGAAUUGCAGUCGAUACUGCUGUGACUCGAGUCCGGUAGAGGAGAAUGGAAUUCUCGGUGUAGCGGUGAAAUGCGCAGAUAUCGAGAGGAACACCAGUAGCGAAGGCAGUUCUCUGGGCCGGCACUGACGCUGAGGAGCGAAAGCGUGGGGAGCAAACAGG
This 254-nucleotide unclassified non-coding RNA is filed under the name uncultured Acidimicrobiia bacterium. Its description in RNAcentral is "contains 16S-23S intergenic spacer region". It matches the Rfam family "Bacterial small subunit ribosomal RNA", at positions 524 to 776 of the family's 1533-position model. The record is from RNAcentral. Lineage: Bacteria; Bacillati; Actinomycetota; Acidimicrobiia.